UGUGUCCGCCUGUAGCCCCCCAUAUUCAGAAGUUUUAUAUAGGAAUAGUACUGUGUCCAGCUGUGUGCACCUGUAGCCAGCAGAUUUUAUAAGUUUUAUAUAGAAAUUGCGUUGUGUCCACUUGUGUCCGCCUGUAUCCCCUCAUUUCUAGAAGUUUUAUAUAGAAAUAACGUUGUGUCCAGCUGUGUCCACCUGUAGCCAGC
This 203-nucleotide long non-coding RNA is filed under the name Mytilus galloprovincialis (Mediterranean mussel). Lineage: Eukaryota; Metazoa; Mollusca; Bivalvia; Mytilida; Mytilidae. The record is from RNAcentral.